RNAcentral lists this ribosomal RNA (120 nucleotides) under uncultured bacterium. RNAcentral's name for it is "partial 16S ribosomal RNA". It matches the Rfam family "Bacterial small subunit ribosomal RNA", at positions 796 to 915 of the family's 1533-position model. The record is from RNAcentral.
CACGCCGUAAACGAUGUCAACUAGCCGUUGGGAGCCUUGAGCUCUUAGUGGCGCAGCUAACGCAUUAAGUUGACCGCCUGGGGAGUACGGCCGCAAGGUUAAAACUCAAAUGAAUUGACG